This 520-nucleotide ribosomal RNA is filed under the name uncultured Scutellospora. RNAcentral's name for it is "SSU rRNA". It matches the Rfam family "Eukaryotic small subunit ribosomal RNA", at positions 569 to 1093 of the family's 1831-position model. Lineage: Eukaryota; Fungi; Glomeromycota; Glomeromycetes; Diversisporales; Gigasporaceae. The record is from RNAcentral.
AGCAGCCGCGGUAAUUCCAGCUCCAAUAGCGUAUAUUAAAGUUGUUGCAGUUAAAAAGCUCGUAGUUGAAUUUCGGGGUUCUACCGUUGGUCGGGCUAUUGUCUGUACUGGCGUGUAGAAUUUCUACCUUCUGGGGAACUAUCAUGUUAUUAAUUUAGCGUGGUAGGAAACCAGAACCUUUACCUUGAAAAAAUUAGAGUGUUCAAAGCAGGCUUAUGUCUGAAUACAUUAGCAUGGAAUAAUAAAAUAGGACGGUGGUCCUAUUUUGUUGGUUUCUGAAUCACCGUAAUGAUUAAUAGGGAUAGUUGGGGGCAUUAGUAUUCAAUUGUCAGAGGUGAAAUUCUUGGAUUUAUUGAAGACUAACUACUGCGAAAGCAUUUGCCAAGGAUGUUUUCAUUAAUCAAGAACGAAAGUUAGGGGAUCGAAGACGAUCAGAUACCGUCGUAGUCUUAACCAUAAACUAUGCCGACUAGGGAUCGGGACGAUGUUAAUUUUUCUUGACUCGUUCGGCGCCUUACGG